This 2215-nucleotide long non-coding RNA is filed under the name Triticum aestivum (bread wheat). RNAcentral describes it as "long non-coding RNA (TAES_LNC012936)". The record is from RNAcentral. Lineage: Eukaryota; Viridiplantae; Streptophyta; Magnoliopsida; Poales; Poaceae.
AAUUCAUUAGGAGGAGAUAGGAGAGACAAGGAAGAAAUGAAGUAAACAUACAUACAUGUCUAUAUAUAAGCAGCAGAAGCAAGUAAUAUAAAUACAUCCGCUUUCUUCCUCUACAACACUAACUACAUCAACAUCAAUCAUAGUACACAAGGAGCAGCAGCAGCAAGCCGAUAAAGAAAGCUCAAGAUUUGUGUCUUUUGCAAGUUUUAGCACACUAGUACAUGCGUUAAAAUGGAAGCACCGCUGCUGGGUUGCAACAGCCAACAAAAUAAAAAAAAUCUAUACACACGCACAAAAUUAAGCAAUGGUUCCGUGAGUGUUGUAGACAAAAAGAAAAAUUCAUCCAAUGGUCCCCAGUGCCGGCGCAGUCCAAUGCGCGGCGCCGACGGCUGCAUACGAAGAGAUCGAAGCAGUGAGCGAGGGGAUGGGGCCGCAGUCCAAAUCUGCAUGAAAAAGAGACAUGCUGUAUAAUGGUUGUGGAGCAACAAUAAUGAUGAAAAUAUAUUGCUUAAGUGCAUGAAGGACCAGUAAUCAAUAACAUAAUUGUGAUGAAAUUAAAUAAAAAUGGCCUUUGAAAUACUAUGCAAAUGAUACUGAUCACAUGCACACCAAAUGGCCUUUUUUUGCAGGAAAAAAGAAAAGGCACUCAAGUAGGCAGUUUGAAAGCAUUAAACACGCGAUGUCCUCUCGAAGCUUCAAUGGAGCUUGCUAACCUCCAUCUAUGUUUACAAUUAUUAUAUCAGAAUCACAUCAGUACAUGGUGCAGACUACAGAUGAACAUCGUCUGACAUUAUGUUCAUAGAUAAGUUACUCAUUAGAUUCAUCUCAUCCACCAAUAUGAUAAAAGUGAAAAACGUUUCACAUUAUGAGAUUUAGUUGUUUUUACCAACCAUAUGAUGAUGCCACUUAUGCCCCUAGUGCUGCAAGGUUAAGUAUUGCAACUGUGCACUGCCUUGAUUACAUAUUUUGUAACCACAGCCCCCAAAAAAUGUAAGUCAUUGACUCACGAUCAAGCAUACUAAAUGGUUUUUUCAAACACAUCCUGGCUUUCCCCAAACUGAACUUACUAGUUAAAGAAAAGCUAUCAGCACAAGAUUCUGACAGAAAAUGGCCACUCCAAGCCAUCCAAUACACCAUGGGUACAUAAUGAUUCCCACCGAGAUUCAGUUUCAGUUGAGCCUAAAAUAGUCUGACAGUCCAAGCGCACACGUUUGGCUUGGGGCAUAUCUAUACUCCAGAUAACAAAUAGUAUGACUUCUUAUAAAUAAUAACCAAUAGUACUGCCCCCAGAUGAGCUGCUCAUACAUAACGAUAAAUCAACUAACCGCUACGUAUAGAUGAUGAUAGGCCAUAUGAUGUCUUAGUAUUUCCCAAAAUAAUUGAGCUCGGGUUCAACAUGGGAUCAGCAUAUAUAUACCAAGACUUGGUGCGAGAAUAUGGCAUACAAGCGAAACCACGCCGUCUGAUCUCACUAAUGAUUCCCAAAUCCUAAAAAUAGCUGUCACCCAUGAACCAGCAAGUCAACGUAGCACCUAAGAUUCCAGUAUCUGGACUAGUAGCACAAUCUGCAAGAGCCAACUAUAUCAAGAGACAUACUACCGAGUACUGACAUACCACCAACUUGCUACGAAAGAAAUAAUACAUCUAAAAAGUUCUACCAAAAGAGAACCACCAAAAUCCAGUUCUAGUCAGAUUACGCAAGUAUUGACAUUUCACAAACGGCGUCGCUCUGGUGCUUGACGACUCUAGACAGCGCGGGGGUGCCAUGGUGGUGGUGGUGGUGGCGUCCUCUCCGGCGACCGGCGACCGGUGGUGGUGGCGGGCCGGGGUGGGAGCACCGGGAGAACUCGACAGAUCCGACCUGGAAACCCAAAAGAGCAAGUAAAUUCAGCGCGUGAAUCGAAGCAGAAGAGCCUCCCUGCGCGAAACCGCAAGGCAGGGGUAGAAUUAAGCGAGGAGGGGAGGGAGGCGGGGCUUGGCCGUCCUGCUCGAUGUGGCCCUGCGGGAAGUAGAAGACGAGGUCCCCGACUCGCGGGACGGUGACGAGCGGGCCGGCGCAGGCGUGCCAGAGCUCGUCGUAGAGCGGAUCCCCUGCUCGGAAAACCAGCGCCGGUAAACGUCAGCGACCAACGAGGAGGAGGAUUGCGGCCGCGCUGGCCAGAUCCGGAAGGCUGCGUACCUGCGGAGGGGCCUGCGGCGGCGCCAUGGCGGCGGG